GGUUGAGGGAGGGGAUGAAGACCCUUGGUGUUCUUGAUGCAAUAAGAAUGCACCCAGAUGCUUUUAGACCGCUGUUUUUGUCACAAGCCAUCCCCACUCACAGCUGAUGUACUAGAACAGCUCUUUGAAAUUCAACUUAGCAGUGGGCAGCAACAAAAGAAGGAAUGUGUGGUUGCAUUUUGG
Etheostoma spectabile (orangethroat darter) is the source of this 183-nucleotide long non-coding RNA. RefSeq lists it as uncharacterized. The transcript is spliced from 3 exons. NCBI's taxonomy places the organism in Eukaryota, Metazoa, Chordata, Actinopteri, Perciformes, Percidae. The record is from RefSeq and is a predicted model, not a curated record.